GACGGGACCCCGCACAAGCGGUGGAUCAUGUUGUUUAAUUCGAUGAUACGCGAAGAACCUUACCAGGUCUUGACAUCCCCCGCGAUGCUUUAGAGAUAAAGCGGAGGUAUUCGGGGAGACAGGUGGUGCAUGGUUGUCGUCAGCUCGUGUCGUGAGAUGUUGGGUUAAGUCCCGCAACGAGCGCAACCCCUAUUGCUAGUUACCAUCAUUAAGUUGGGGGACUCUAGCGAGACUGCCAGUGAUAAACUGGAGGAAGGUGGGGAUGACGUCAAAUCAUCAUGCCCCUUAUGACCUGGGCUACAAACGUGAUACAAUGGCUGGAACAAAGGGAUGCGAAGCAGUGAUGUGGAGCGAAACCCAUAAAAACAGUCUCAGUUCGGAUUGAAGUCUGCAACUCGACUUCAUGAAGCUGGAAUCGCUAGUAAUCGUGGAUCAGCCAAGCCGCGGUGAAUACGUUCCCGGGCCUU
Molecule: ribosomal RNA, 467 nt
Filed under: uncultured Acholeplasma sp.
Lineage: Bacteria; Bacillati; Mycoplasmatota; Mollicutes; Acholeplasmatales; Acholeplasmataceae
Description: bacterial SSU rRNA
Rfam family: Bacterial small subunit ribosomal RNA
Source: RNAcentral